This 195-nucleotide ribosomal RNA is filed under the name uncultured Bacillus sp. Its description in RNAcentral is "partial 16S ribosomal RNA". It matches the Rfam family "Bacterial small subunit ribosomal RNA", at positions 338 to 524 of the family's 1533-position model. Lineage: Bacteria; Bacillati; Bacillota; Bacilli; Caryophanales; Bacillaceae. The record is from RNAcentral.
CCUACGGGAGGCAGCAGUAGGGAAUCUUCCGCAAUGGACGAAAGUCUGACGGAGCAACGCCGCGUGAGCGAUGAAGGCCUUCGGGUCGUAAAGCUCUGUUGUUAGGGAAGAACAAGUACCGUUCGAAUAGGGCGGUACCUUGACGGUACCUAACCAGAAAGCCACGGCUAACUACGUGCCAGCAGCCGCGGUAAU